Molecule: ribosomal RNA, 468 nt
Filed under: uncultured bacterium
Lineage: Bacteria
Description: partial 16S ribosomal RNA
Rfam family: Bacterial small subunit ribosomal RNA
Source: RNAcentral
GACGAACGCUGGCGGCGUGCUUAACACAUGCAAGUCGAACGGAAAGGCCCUGCUUUUGUGGGGUGCUCGAGUGGCGAACGGGUGAGUAACACGUGAGUAACCUGCCCUUGACUUUGGGGUAACUUCAGGAAACUGGGGCUAAUACCGGAUAGGAGCUCCUGAUGCAUGGUGGGGGUUGGAAAGUUUCGGCGGUUGGGGAUGGACUCGCGGCUUAUCAUCUUGUUGGUGGGGUAGUGGCUUACCAAGGCUUUGACGGGUAGCCGGCCUGAGAGGGUGACCGGGCACAUUGGGACUGAGAUACGGCCCAGACUGCUACGGGAGGCAGCAGUGGGGAAUAGUGCACGAUGGGCGGAAGCCUGAUGCAGCAACGCCGCGUGCUGGAUGACGGCCUUUGGGUUGUAAACCGCGUUCGCCUGUGACGAAGCGUGAGUGACGGUAAUGGGUAAAGAAGCACCGGCUAACUACGUG